Stygiomarasmius scandens is the source of this 91-nucleotide non-coding RNA. The record is from the annotation of a GenBank genome assembly. NCBI's taxonomy places the organism in Eukaryota, Fungi, Basidiomycota, Agaricomycetes, Agaricales, Campanellaceae.
UCCCUCUUAGCUCAGUUGGUAGAGCGCGUCACUAGUAUCGUACUUGGCGAGUAGUAUGACGAGGUCAGUCGUUCGAGUCGGCUAGAGGGAA